GUGAUCUCUUGUGCAGCACAUAUACUAAAAUUGAAAUGAUUCAGAGAAGAUUAGCAUGGCCCCUAUGCAAGACAACAAACUCAUAAAGCAUUCCAUAUUUUA
Small nuclear RNA from Eptesicus fuscus (big brown bat), 102 nucleotides. The record is from RefSeq and is a predicted model, not a curated record. Lineage: Eukaryota; Metazoa; Chordata; Mammalia; Chiroptera; Vespertilionidae.